CUUGACCACAGUUUGUGUCCACAAGAGCAGGAGAUUCCAUCAGAUUUAUGCAAGGCUUCAGAGGAACAGCAGAGUGGCUGCUCAGAAGACGUGAAGGAGAUGCUGCUGCUUAUGCUCAGCUACUUUGAUGAGAAGGAGGAGUCCAUGUUCUUCCAUGUAGAUGAUACAUGUCUGGCAGAAGAGGUUGAGCUAGGGCAGGUGCCUCUGACACCCACUAUUAUUGUCUGUGGCCAGUCCUGCUAUUCCUCAACAAGGUACAUGCUGAGUCUGGAUCGGAACCUUGUCAACACAAACAUCUCUUCCUUCAUUUCUGCAUUGUGGCUAAUGUUUGGGAGCUACUACUGUUUCAACAUCCAUUAUCCAUCUUAGCUGGCUUCUACACUGGAGUUUCUUCAAAGAAAAAGGAACCAAAGUAGAGAAUAAAAACUCAAAGUGUCGUCUCAACGUGAACCCUCGAGUUCUGACCCUGAUACAGGAUCUCGCUGAUCAUGAGUGGCGUGAAGGCUAAACAAGGACUCUGUGUUGACUGCUAGAGAAGAGGUGCUGUUAAUUUUCACUUUGUUAAAUGUACAACAUGCAAGUUUUGUUUUAAAGGUGCAUUUUGUAACUUUCUAUGAAGAGGGUCUGCCACCUGCUUGUUGUCCUUGUUAUCCAACAAUGUUCCACAGUAUUGUAAAAAUCUUGUCUAUCUUCAAUUACUCAAAUUGAAUAUGUUUUAGCAAAAAAACACAAAGUAUGAUCUGUAACUUGGUCUGAUCAGCAGUUAAAAAGAGCCAAUGCUUGAAAGUUCUUUGUGUUGGUGUCCAGGGUUGUGUUGCUGGUUUCUUCCUGCAGUUGCUUGAAGGGGCCACUCAUCAGCCACGGCUUCAAUCUACCGUGCUAUUUAAGGACAGAACUCCUGUGUGUUGUGGCUUUGAUGCUUUGUUCUGCCUGUUUCCCUUGCUUCUUCCCUGCUUGUUCGAGGUCUCCAUGUCGUCUGCUGGACCUGUGAACGUGCAGAAUCGGACUCCUGAGAUUCCUGCAGUCCAGGAGGACUGCCUUUGUGUCCUUGGUGUCUUCCCGGCAUGCUUGAGGCCUCCAUGCCGUCCGCAGGACCGGUGAACGUGCAGAACAAGACUCCCGAGUUUUCUGCAGUCCAGGAGGACGG
This 1147-nucleotide long non-coding RNA is filed under the name Takifugu rubripes (torafugu). RNAcentral describes it as "lncRNA (ENSTRUG00000031400.1)". The record is from RNAcentral. Lineage: Eukaryota; Metazoa; Chordata; Actinopteri; Tetraodontiformes; Tetraodontidae.